GGAAGACCUGAGUCAGUGAGACUCUUGAUUUACCAGUUGAUUUACUCUCCUGCCCUCACUGAUGGUCAUGAAGUUUGGGUAAUAGGUGAAAGAAUAA
Molecule: long non-coding RNA, 97 nt
Organism: Thalassophryne amazonica
Lineage: Eukaryota; Metazoa; Chordata; Actinopteri; Batrachoidiformes; Batrachoididae
Exons: 3
Source: RefSeq, a predicted model, not a curated record